GCGUAGCUCAGCGGAUAGAGCGUCUGCCUCCGGAGCAGAAGGUCGUAGGUUCGAAUCCUGUCGCG
Molecule: transfer RNA, 65 nt
Filed under: Brevibacterium luteolum
Lineage: Bacteria; Bacillati; Actinomycetota; Actinomycetes; Micrococcales; Brevibacteriaceae
Rfam family: tRNA
About the family: Transfer RNA (tRNA) molecules are approximately 80 nucleotides in length. Their secondary structure includes four short double-helical elements and three loops (D, anti-codon, and T loops). Further hydrogen bonds mediate the characteristic L-shaped molecular structure. tRNAs have two regions of fundamental functional importance: the anti-codon, which is responsible for specific mRNA codon recognition, and the 3' end, to which the tRNAs corresponding amino acid is attached (by aminoacyl-tRNA synthetases). tRNAs cope with the degeneracy of the genetic code in two manners: having more than one tRNA (with a specific anti-codon) for a particular amino acid; and 'wobble' base-pairing, i.e. permitting non-standard base-pairing at the 3rd anti-codon position.
Source: RNAcentral